CGGAGCGUGCAACUGUCAACUGUGCUUAAUUAAUUUUGAUUAUUGUUUAGUGAUCUAUUAAAUUCAUCCGCCAUUGCUUUUCAAUAAAUGAAAUGUGGAAAUUCAAAUUGUCCGCAGUCAUUUUGGAUCACUCGGUAUAAGAAGCUGUUCGUCCGACGUUCGAGAUUUGGAUUUCGCAAUCGCUGCAAAAUUGUAUGCUAGUACAGACACAGAGGAAUUGGUAAAAGUUUCUAAAGACGAUUUAGAACCUAGCCUUUGGUAAUUGGCUUAAUUUGUAUCUGUGAUGGGAUAUGACUAAGGAAAAAAAGGAACUAAUUUAGUGGAAAGCGCUCGUUUUCAAAAAUGAAAAUUAUGAAGAAUGCAUACUUUCAACGACGAUGGGACAAAAGCGGAUAUCAAAGCUAUUGAAAGUGAUUUACGCCCGGGAACUAGAUUGCAGCGAAACCAUCAAGGCAUUUUCUUCAAAAAAAAGCUCGCAAUUAGUUUUUAAUAAAUUGUAUGUGCUUAAAAAAACAAAACAUUUUUUUGCAAUUUUAGUCAGCCCAACAUUCAGUCUAGACUGCCUCCCGUUUGCGUUCUAUGCCAAC
Photinus pyralis (common eastern firefly) is the source of this 587-nucleotide long non-coding RNA. RefSeq lists it as uncharacterized. The transcript is spliced from 3 exons. The record is from RefSeq and is a predicted model, not a curated record. Lineage: Eukaryota; Metazoa; Arthropoda; Insecta; Coleoptera; Lampyridae.